UCUAUACAAAUUUAGAUCUCGAGAUGUGCUAUUCCCUCCAACGAAAUAAGUUCAAGAAAUUCUGUUUGAGGCCUAAAUGACCUCAGAACAAAUGUUUACAUUCUGACAAAUCUUUUUAAGAUGCUAGAACAUAUUCGAUCUUUAAAAAAACAUAGGUUCCAAUCUGAAAAAUCAGCUUGCCGACAUUGCCUUGGCUCCACGGUGUCGUUGUCACUGCCACACAGGAAAAUCGGUCCCUCGUAGCCGCCCCGCCACAAUGCGCCCUCCCUACAACCGCGUGCACAACAGCGCAACAAACGACCCGACAUAUAGCAAUAAAAGGCAACAGUCAAAGACAUUUACUAAAAACAAUGUUGAUGCACUAAACACUUUUGAAAAAAAAUGAAGGUAGUAAAUGAAAGGCAUAAACGUUGAGUAAUAAAAUCAAAUUCCCUUGGAGUUGGCAGUAUAUAUUACCACUCAAAACGGGUGUAGUAGGACUGUAGGAGCAACAAAGAUGAUUUACUGCUAUGCACAACCAGUGCUGGUGAACAAAAAUCUGAUUGUUCAUAGAACAUAAUGCAUGCUAACAUAACUUAUGGGUUACCAGUUGUUAUACCUUGCCAAAGUAUGAAGAAGCAAAAGAUGACAGAAAUGAUCAAAGCCACCAGAUUCGCAAUGGAGAUGCUGAUUUGGAAUUCAUCAUCUUCUCCAAUGCCUUCAUACGCUCCAUCCUAGCCCUCUUUAACACCGCACGCUCCGAUAGUUCACUGAAGAAGUUAGAUCACAGAAUUUUGAAGCUAACUACAAACCAAAAAAUGACCUUGUAAAAUCUUAAACUAUCACUUGCACAACCUUGACUGGAGCAGUAUACAAUAUUUUUACUUGUUAUUUACAUGAUUCCAUCAUUCAGUUCAAUUAGCGGAUGCAGCAUACACAUGACCUUCUAUUUUGCUAGGGUACAACAAAA
Molecule: long non-coding RNA, 949 nt
Filed under: Zea mays
Lineage: Eukaryota; Viridiplantae; Streptophyta; Magnoliopsida; Poales; Poaceae
Description: long non-coding RNA (ZMAY_LNC003165)
Source: RNAcentral